GUGCCAGCAGCCGCGGUAAAACGUAGGACGCGAGCGUUAUCCGGAGUUACUGGGCGUAAAGCGCGGGCAGGCGGUCUGACAAGUCUGAUGUGAAAUCUCCGGGCUCAACCGGGAGAGGCCAUUGGAAACUGACAGGCUGGAGGGCAGUAGAGGUAGGCGGAAUUCCGGGUGGAGUGGUGAAAUGCGUAGAGAUCCGGAGGAACACCAGAGGCGAAGGCGGCCUACUGGGCUGCACCUGACGCUGAGCCGCGAAAGCCAGGGGAGCGAACGGGAUUAGAAACCCCCGUAGUCC
This 292-nucleotide ribosomal RNA is filed under the name uncultured bacterium. Its description in RNAcentral is "partial 16S ribosomal RNA". It matches the Rfam family "Bacterial small subunit ribosomal RNA", at positions 505 to 796 of the family's 1533-position model. The record is from RNAcentral.